This 448-nucleotide ribosomal RNA is filed under the name uncultured bacterium. RNAcentral's name for it is "partial 16S ribosomal RNA". It matches the Rfam family "Bacterial small subunit ribosomal RNA", at positions 328 to 792 of the family's 1533-position model. The record is from RNAcentral.
GGCCCAGACUCCUACGGGAGGCAGCAGUGGGGGAUAUUGCACAAUGGGGGGAACCCUGAUGCAGCGACGCCGCGUGGGUGAAGGAGCGUUUCGGCGCGUAAAGCCCUAUCGGCAGGGAAGAAGGAGGACAGUACCUGACUAAGAAGCCCCGGCUAACUACGUGCCAGCAGCCGCGGUAAUACGUAGGGGGCAAGCGUUAUCCGGAUUUACUGGGUGUAAAGGGAGCGUAGGCGGUUAGAUAAGUCUGAUGUGAAAGCCCACAGCUUAACUGUGGGAUUGCAUUGGAAACUAUAGAACUAGAGUGUCGGAGAGGUAAGUGGAAUUCCUAGUGUAGCGGUGAAAUGCGUAGAUAUUAGGAGGAACACCAGUGGCGAAGGCGGCUUACUGGACGAUGACUGACGCUGAGGCUCGAAAGCGUGGGGAGCAAACAGGAUUAGAUACCCGCGUA